CAUGCCGCGUGUCAGCAGCCAGACAACCUAUAUCCCAGCCUCCCAACACACGCCCAGUGACGCGCACGGUCAAACCGCCUCGGCUCCUGGUCGAGUGUUGCGUGUCACGACGCUUCGACAUUCCCGCGGUGGCCUGUAUGGAUAGCCGGUCCGUAUUCGUCACCCUUCUUUGGUCGCGUUCCCUGUGCUACCCUCUCCCCCAUCACCGCGCGUCCUCCCUUGUAAGGCUUGGACCCUAAUAUGAUAGGGACCUUAAUAUAAUAGGGACCCUAAUAUGAUAGGGAUCCUAAUGUGAUAGGGACCCUAAUGUGAUAGGGACCCUAAUAUGAUAGGGUCCCUAAUAUGAUAGGGAUCCUAAUGUGAUAGGUUCCCUAAUAUGAUAGGGACCCUAAUAUGAUAGGGACCCUAAUAUGAUAGGGACCUUAAUAUAAUAGGGACCCUAAUAUGAUAGAGACCCUAAUAUGAUAGGGUCCCUAAUAUGAUAGGGAUCCUAAUGUGAUAGGGACCCUAAUGUGAUAGGGACCCUAAUAUGAUAGGGACCCUAAUGUGAUAGGGACCCUAAUAUGAUAGGGACCCUAAUGUGAUGGCCAUGUAACAAGUCUGUGUGAUUCGCAUGGAUAUCUUGGUUGUGCGUCGUCAUGAUCAUGGCAGAUAGGUUGUCUGACUGUAGACAGAUAGGUUGUCUGACUGUAGACAGGGGUACGUGGGAAUCGAUCGCCUGCAGACUUGCACGCCAGCGGGAGUGACAACCCAUGCAGUUAUUGCUACUGGUCAAGGUCCCCCCCCCCAGCACCCACGCGCGCGAGCGGUAACGAGAUUUCUGUUCUAUUACAAACCGACUCUCAGAGUCUCAGAGAGCGCGACGUCUCAUAUCAGAAUUUCACUUGACGCACUCACGUAAUGCACAUGGGAACUGUGAUAGACAUUUUGUAUAUAUUUUAGUUUCGGAGGAGGAGGAGGAGACAUGAGGGGGUGGUGGCGGCGUCCCGGCGGUCCUACAGGCUGGUCCUGUGUCGCUCGCACGCACGCACCGCCCUCUACAUGUGUUGUCUCAUCUCAUAGGGUCUUCCCAGCCUGCAUUCGUAUCGAAACAAGUUAUCAGCAGUACACUGAACCACAUUUUGCACUGAUUCUCGCGAGAUUUCGCGCACGCACCAGUUUAGAUAUGAAACGGAGGUCGACGCAAGGGGAUUUCGUCGCCAGGGGGCGUAACGUGUCACCUGCUGAUGAGCCUUGCACCUCUUUACAGAUUACGUUUCCUUGCAGGCCAUCCAAACUCUGUCAUUGUUGUUAACAUGUCAUCGUGCAUCAGCGUAACAAUGAGACUGCAAUCACCGCGUUUCAUUACGUCUAUAAUGUUUAACUCGCGAUCCACUGUUGCCAUGGCUACAGUUGUUAUGGCUACGGCGUGUCCUUUGCUCCCCCCCAGCGCGUGUGAGUCUGGCAGCAGUCUGCAGGGAGGGAGGAGGGAGGGGGUCCGUCGUGGGGUCGCGAGUGUUUGAUGAGUGUUUGUACAGAUCUCCAGAGAAAGAAAGAGGGCGAGCGAGAAAGAGAGAGGGAGAUAGAGAGAGAGAGAGAGAGAGAGAGAGAGUUGUGCACCUUCCGCAGGGUGCUCGUGGUUGAUGAUGCAAUGCGCAUGCGCGGCCCCGCAUCCCGUACCUGCACAGAGGGCAGCCUAAAUUUUAUGUCGUCUACUUAACUACUAGCUACUGCGAAACCGUGUAAAUUAUGCUGUAAUUCGUGUAUAAAUGUAUAACGUAAAGACGCUUUCGCCUAAUUUAAUUGCGAUGAGUCACCGGUGGAUUGCGCGUGCACGUACUUCACUCACGGUGAGAUGUGUACGGAACAAACCUUUGACGUUUCCAGACGACGACAGUGACGACAGUGACGUUGACGAUGAUUAAUAAUGUAACGGUGGAUUUAUGCAGUCAGUCUUCGGUGCGAUCACAUAAAAUAGCACUCGUACUAUGUUUGUGCCGUGGGUUGUAACAGCAACGGUGGAUAAGGCAGUCUAUGAAACGUGUCUAGUUCUAGUAUAGGGAAUUUCGGUGGUUGGAUUGGUGCGGCUUUAAUUAAGGCAUGCAGGGUUUUGAUGAGGUGUAUCUAGAAGGAAACCAGCGUGGAAGAAAGCUGGUGCAUGCGCAGUACGGGGAGGAGCUCACGAAUCUCUGUCGCUCCCAUGAAAGAUGUAACUGUUGGUGAUUGAUAGCAUGGGCGACCGUGUGCACGUGUGUGCGUGACGUCAUCGUCACCAUGGUGACGACGGAAACCCCGUUACUCGUGUAUCUUGAUGAGAAAUAUUUACUUAUUCCGACUAUUUAUCUCGAUAUAUGGACAUCGCGUUAUAUGACCAUGUUGUUUCUGUGAUGUAUGUUUACUACUUACACGUAUAGCUUAUGAAUAACGUAUCGAUAAUUAAAUCAGCGGCAGGAGAGAGAGAGAGAGAGAGAGAGAGAGAGAGAGAGAGAGAGGAACAGCGCAAACAAAUAGAGGAACAUACGCGCGAGGAAGGACCGGAGGAACAACAAUCAACUGAAGAUCAUGUCAAGGUCGUGGUUUGGACAACGCGUGUGUUUUAGUGCUGCAUAAUACUCGUAGGUGGGAUAACCGACAGAUAGGUUAAAUCCUAUAGUCAUCUAGUCAUGCAGUGGGAACAGCCUACGUGUGAAAGCGUGGGUUUCCACCGCCUGGGGAUAUUGUUUCGACGAUGAUUUGCACUCUGAAAUAUAUUUACAGAAAAGACGAGACGGCGCAUGCGCUGCAGCAGUAGCGCUGUUCACCAUCCUCUAUGUUGUUAGCGAGGGGUUUUAUCUAAGCCCUUCCAUCUAGAGUCAGGAUAGCGAGAGAUAGAGAAAGCAAGAAAGAGAGAGUGUGUGUGUGCUUGUCAGGGAUCCGUCUGGUUCAAUCCGUGUUGCUAUGCAUAUACAGCCUCGGAACGAGACGAUAGAAAUACAGAGAACAGGGGGAGAGAGAGCGCGCGCGAGAGAGAGAGAUUGCAAAUAUAUCUCAAAGUUGGACAAAUUUGCUUGAUUUGUUUUCAAGUGCAGCAGCUCUUGAGCGUGAGGAUGGCAUGAUUUUAGAGGGUGGGGGUGUGGGAAGCAGUAAGUCCAUAUCUACAAAUCUAUAUUUACCUAAAUGGUGCAAGUUACAAAACGUAGUUUAGAGGAGACACUAUAUUAUGUAGCUGUAGGCACAGGUUGUAUUAAUUGCAUAUAUGCAGCUGUGGAUCGUCGACUAGCGAGGACGUACGUCGUGCAACUCGAACUGCAGGCUUACGAGACGAGUGUAAAAUUAUGUUAAUUACGUGUAAUUUAUUCGUAGUGUAUAUCGUAUAUAUAUAGCAACGCGCGUGUUUAAAACAAGCAUUUCUCUUCGUGAAUUAGACACUCGAACACACACACACACUUCUGCUCGCCUUCAGCGUCAGAAUGUGCAGCGUGUGUGACAACAGUGUAAGCUAUGAACUCUCACACAGCGUUGUAAUUCUGAGUCGUGGGGCCGAAUCAAGCGGUUCAUACUACUUUUGGUGGUGAAUUCGUAGUGAGAUGAUACAACCAGCACAGCUUCGUCGUUCUCAUAGAGUCGGAAACGUGUGUAAAUAAAGCUUACAGGUUCUUUGCAAAUAGUAAACGAGAAGUGAACAAUAAUAGUCGGUGUGUGUAUAUGUGUGUGUAUAAUAUAUAUAUAUAUUAUACACACACAUCGGUAGCUGCAUCAAGCUAAUGUAGUUAGAGAGGUAAAGCCUGUUAAAUUUUAGUCGAGUGUAUAUGACAUCCACAAUUAGCUAUUAUACUGACAUACGUGUGUGUGUGCGUAUGCGUGUGUGCGUGCGCGUGUGUGCGUGCGCGUGUGACGACGAUAUUUUAUGUAUGACGUCAGAGGACACGUGAUGAGCCAUGUACAGAAUCUGUUGAUAUUUUUGCAAGUUUUAUAUUGUUUCGCACACGUUUUUCAGUUCGCCCGCGUAGCUUUUCUUGAUAUUUUACAACCCCUUGCGGAGUAGCUGUAUUUCGCUACAGAUGGCGGAGUGUUCCCAAUACGAGGGCUUAGUGUGAGUCAUACGUGAUGACACACAACGUUGUGACGUGUCGCAGCACUUUCCCCCGUAAAAUAUCCGCGAACAAAAAUGGCACAGCCCACCGCCAAGUUCUAUUACGAGUAUUUAGUUAUACGAGAUAACGUCUCUGUGUUGAAGCGUUUCUCCUAGUCCGUUCGACUUUUUUCGAAGUUCCGUUUGUCAGUCUACGGUCAACACCCGGUGGCAAUGCAGCAUUUCGAACGGUCAGUCGACGACGAAAUAUUUUGUUUGCAAAUGGCGGUACGUCGCUGUUACUGGCAGACUCAUUUCGCGUGCACUCGGUGGUCCCUCACGAUGGUCACUUUAAUGACCGGGUUAAUAGUGUUUUUUGCUAAUAGCGAUUGUCGUAUAAGGGUCAAAGUCACUGAUCAGAUGGUUGUGCUCCAGGAAUUAUGAGUAGUAUAAUAAAGUAUAGAUUCAACAAGAAAAUUACCAUUUUUCACCCACGGUACGGCAGAUGCGUGUUUUGGGGGGCUUUGUAUAAGCAUUGCGUUCACACUUACUUACGGCAGAACUAGCAGAUUUUGUAAACGACUGCCGCCAUUUCGAUGCGCCUCGGCAAUGACGUGGCUUUCUAUCGUGGCUUUGACAAACCCAGCGAUUGGUUUCGACGUGGUUCGCAGAAAAUUCAGGUUAUUUUCUUGUUGAAUGUGUUCUAGUAGUGUAUAUUCUUGUCUAGUCAGUGGAAACGAUAGAGGAAAAUACAUUUUUGAUAUGUGUAAUAGUUUUGGUUUCACCCCCCCCCCGCGACACAAUGAAGGUUAGAAGGUGACCAAUCCUUGAAGCCAUUGGAGGGGGAAAUGGUGAAAGGAUAUAUGCUAUCGUCGUCAGCCAUUGAUCGUCACUAGCUAUCGUAUUUCGUGCUCCUUGUUUAGAUUAAGCAUGGUCACACAUCGCCAACAAGGCGGGUUACUCGUACCUAGUUGCUGUAAUGGGAAUUGCUUUAUGGUAGUGUGAUAUCGGUGUGAUAACGAGUGAGAUCAGGUGGAUUGUCAGUCCAACGCGCGGAGGUUCAUGCAUGUAAACCCAUGGGGACGAGCAAGAUGUAUAGUAGGUUAUUUAUUCGACUGAGUUAUCAAGUAAUGGAAGCGUAAUCACUGAGAUUCAUUUUCAGUUACGAGGACCAGCAGGUGUCGCCACCGGUGACUGCUGUGCGCGUGAACAAUGCUGAUGGCGGGAAAGCUCGUCUGCUAGCGCGAGAGAAAACGUGUGCGUACCACUCACCUAUAUAUAACUGUUACAUCUGUUAUAUAUAGAUCAGUGGUGCGUGCAGGUACAUGGAGAUUUUUGCAUCGCACAGCAAAAGCCGGCUGCUGUGGGGAGCUAAAAUUGGUCAGAGGUUUGUAGUGAGAGAUGCCGUUGCUCGGUUUCCUGAUUUAUUCCUGUGUUUAAUAGCAUUGUUCAGCCGCACUGCAGAACAACCGGCAAAAUCACGUGAAUGUUUAACGAUGCACAAUAUUGCUGAAUCGUGUGGGGUUUUUUGUUGAUAAUCUAUUGUAGGUUUAUUAAAGAUGUACAUGAUUAUGACAGUCAACGAUUAUGAAGUUAGCGGUGAGAAAGUUUGGGGCGUUAUGUGUGACUAGUGAGCGAGAUCUGGUGGAUAUUGAAACGCGAAGCUCUGCUUUGCGCACGUGAAUAAACAGACCCCCAGUAAACACUGCAGUAAAAUUGACUGCAGUUCAGCAAGUGAUGAAUUGGCAAUCUUCGCAAAAGGCACCCUCAUUCCUCAUUCCAGAAAAAGUUAUCCAUUGGAAAUGUCGUGAAAUUUUGAGUUUGUUUUGGCGUGCCGACGGACAGCAAAUGAACUUUAGAGAACAUAUAGUCCUAGCAAAAUCUAGUCAAUGUUUCAUACUGGUCACGAGUGAGCUCAGGUUCAACAUUGCCAGUUUGAAUUUAGUUGAGAGUUUACGCAAUUGUUUCGCAUUGUUUUGUAAAGUUUGGCAUUGCUGCAUGUAACAGUAUAGCCGCAUAUGUAAUAUUUAUUGAAAAUAAAAUGCCUCUUCUGAGUGCA
This 6089-nucleotide long non-coding RNA is filed under the name Priapulus caudatus. RNAcentral describes it as "uncharacterized LOC106811330". Lineage: Eukaryota; Metazoa; Priapulida; Priapulimorpha; Priapulimorphida; Priapulidae. The record is from RNAcentral.